CUCCCCCAUUAUAACCCAAGAGAGGGCCGUAUUCUAGCUCUUCUUCUUCACAAAAAAGAGACCUAAUAACAAAGAUAACACCCCCUUCCUAUCUCUAAAAGAGGGAACGACACUCUCAUCUUCAAGAGAGCCAUCCAUCAUCCCUAACAGAGGACAAAAAAAAUGGAGCAGCUUUAUUCCCUCCCGUAGAGAGAACAACAAAAAAAAUGGUGCCUCUCUCUCUCUCUCUGUCUACCUCCCCUUCGUCACUCUCACAAACAUCGACAAAAAUAGCUAGAGAAUAAGUGGGAGAUUCAAUAAUCCAAGAUCUAGAAAAAUCAAAAAAAAAAAGUAAUGAAGUUCUAGAAAAACAAAAUAAAGGAAGAACAAUAGAGUUUUGGUAUACUACUUCGGAUUUUUGAUUCAAACAGUUUAAAAUCGAACCAGAGUUGUUUGCUGCUGAUUUCGAACUCAUUUUCCUAGGUUUUGAAUUUUUCUUCCUCUAGUUCGGGGCUUGUUUUCUGUUGUUCAUCAUUGCUGAAAUUCAUCUUCUGUUCAGACCUAUAAUUGGUUUUUCAAUUGCUGUUUAGAUCCAGGUACCUCCACUCAGACUCAUCACGCUUAAGAUGAGGUGCUUGUAGAGACUCCGAGGUAUAUCUGCCACGUCUGCAGACUGAAGAGUCCCUUUCUACUCUCCCUUUUUAAGUAUUAGCCCUUCAGUAUUUUCUUUUCCUUUGUUAGAUACUCUGGAGUUAGAUACUUGUAGACAUCCAAAGGCAUGUGAUCAUGAGAUUAUGGGUUUUGUGAUGUAUUUAGAUUUCGAUAGAUGAUAUUAUGUAUGCCGAGCGAUACUUUUAAACACUAUUUUAUUUCACUAUUUCGUUUUAUUA
Molecule: long non-coding RNA, 869 nt
Organism: Nicotiana tabacum (common tobacco)
Lineage: Eukaryota; Viridiplantae; Streptophyta; Magnoliopsida; Solanales; Solanaceae
Source: RefSeq, a predicted model, not a curated record